GCCCCUCCCGCUAGGAUAAAGGGCGGGGCGGGGCUCGCACAAGACCUUAGAAGCCGCUGCCUCCCAGGAGCCGGCCGUGCGCUCCGGCGGAGCCUCCCGCCCCGGUGUCCUCGCGUGUCGUCCACAGCCCAGACAGCCUCCCGCCAUUCCUGUAACUGGACAACCAGAAGACUUACAAACAUGUCUGAGUUUUGGCUUAUUUCGGCCCCUGGCGACAAGGAAAAUUUACAAGCUCUGGAGAGGAUGAACAAUGUAACCUCAAAGUCUAACCUGUCCCACAACACCAAGUUCACUAUCCCUGACUUCAAGGUGGGGACUUUGGAUUCCCUUGUUGGUCUCUCUGAUGAGUUGGGGAAACUUGAUACCUUUGCUGAAAGCCUCAUAAAGAGGAUGGCGCAGAGUGUGGUGGAGGUCAUGGAGGACUCCAAGGGCAAGGUACACGAGAACCUCCUGGCUAAUGGAGGUCUGAAGGAAAAGAUGAAAUGUUUAAAGAUUGACUUGACAUCCUUUGUGACGCACUUCGAGUGGGACAUGGCCAAAUAUCCUGCCAAGCAGCCACUGGUGAAUGUGGUGGACACACUGGCCAAGGUCACUAGAAGCAUUUCUCCUGCCUCUCCCUCCCAGCAACUGGCACAAAUCGAGACGGACCUGAAGUCCCGCACAGCUGCCUACAGUGUUCUGAAGGCAAACCUGGAGAACUUGGAAAAGAAAUGCACGGGGAACCUCUUCACUCGGACACUGAGCGAUAUUGUCAGCAAGGAAGACUUCGUCCUUGAUUCUGAAUACCUCAUAACCCUACUGGUCAUUGUCCCCAAGUCAAGCUAUGCACAAUGGCAAAAGACAUAUGAGUCCCUAUCGGACAUGGUGGUCCCUCGGUCAACCAAAUUGAUCACCGAGGACAACGAAGGGGGCCUCUUCACAGUGACUCUCUUCCGCAAAGUGAUCGAAGAUUUCAAAGUCAAAGCCAAAGAAAACAAGUUCACUGUCCGGGAAUUUUACUAUGAUGAAAAAGAAAUUAAAAGAGAGAGGGAAGAGAUGAACCGGCUGCAGUCUGAUAAGAAACAACAGUAUCAAACUUCCUGUGUUGCUCUUAAAAAGGGAUCAGCCACCUACCGGGACCACAAGGUUAAGGUAACCCCGCUAGGUAACCCUGCUAGGCCUGCUGCGGGGCAGACCGACAGAGACAGAGAGAGUGAGGGCGAGGGUGAGGUAAGCAUUCCAGGGAACCCUGGGGGGUCCCUGGCUCAAUUCUCUCCCCAGCGGAGGCUCCUCUAAGGAUCAAAUCUUUGCAUUUGCUGUUGUUUCCUCUGGCUUGUGAGGGCUGGAAUUAGAGCCCAGAAUCCCAUUGUCCUAACCUUCAUGGGCUUUCUGGAGCUGACUCUCCAGGCAGGGAAUGGGGCUUGUUGGCUGGAGGAAUGCCUGUGCCCUGGCUGAAGGUGGCUGGAGCUGGUGACUGGUGAUGGGCAGGGCUCUGGCUGGAGGGUGGGUGGUUUGGUCACUCAGCUUGCCUCCCUGACAGCCCUGGCUGGGCCACCUCUAGCUUUACUCAGCAGCUAGAAGUGUCAGAUCGGAGCUGCCCCAAAGCACAUCAGGCUCAGCAGCAGCAGCUAUGGCCUACAUGGGACUGUAAGAGCCCUGGCGUGGGUGUCUGGAUGGGCUAGAUUCUUCGGGCAGUGCCUUCCUAUGAGGGACCUCUGCUUCGAUGGCUCAAAGUGAACUUCAGCGAGGCCUUUAUAGCCUGGAUUCACAUAAAGGCCCUGAGAGUAUUUGUGGAGUCUGUGCUCAGGUACGGACUUCCAGUG
RNA transcript from Acomys russatus (golden spiny mouse), 1802 nucleotides. It is a transcript of the gene named ATPase H+ transporting V1 subunit C2, with no coding region annotated. The transcript is spliced from 14 exons. Lineage: Eukaryota; Metazoa; Chordata; Mammalia; Rodentia; Muridae. The record is from RefSeq and is a predicted model, not a curated record.